AUAUAACAAAUCUCAAUGUAUGAAUUUAAACAUAGAAAAACAACUUCAAAAAUCUGAAAAAAUUCUUAACUCAUGGAAAAAAAGAAAGCUAACAAUGAUCGGAAAAGUAACUGUCGUGAAAUCUCUAGUUAUACCAAAUAUAACAUAUUUAGCUUCUGUAACUGAUAUCGACAAAGAUUCACUAUUUAAGUUUAAAAAAAUGAUUUAUGAAUUCAUUUGGGACCAUAAAAAAGAAAAAAUUAAAAGAAAAACAAUUAACAUGAAAAAAACUGAAGGAGGACUUGGAAUGAUAGAUAUUGACAAGUUUAUUGAU
Molecule: long non-coding RNA, 313 nt
Filed under: Mytilus galloprovincialis (Mediterranean mussel)
Lineage: Eukaryota; Metazoa; Mollusca; Bivalvia; Mytilida; Mytilidae
Source: RNAcentral